CCCGCGUACGCACCUCUCGAUUACAUCUUCGUCAACUGACUGUUGUGACGAGUGGCCAGUGGAAAAGAAAAUUUAAUUAGUCAUUGUAGAAACUGUGUUCCAAUCUCCACAAAGAAGCGAUUUUCCAGCGUCCUCAAGGAUUCUUAUAUAAGUGGUUUGUUGGAUCGCAGAGCAGGCAGAGACGCCAAAGAUCCUCACACUCAGUAAAGUGAUGAAUGAACUCAAAAAGAUCAACCACGGAAUGGACAAAAGCACAACUUAAAACUCACCCACCACCAUUAAUUAUUUGAAGCUCAAUACUGAUGAUCGGCUGAUUGAUUGGGAAAAGGAGGAAGUGCUUCCCACCUUGCCUGCCACCACUGGCUCUAGUCUCCAGCACUUUUCCUAUACCCCUCAUCCUCCUCCAGAGCCCCUGCCCUCCCUCCUCGAUCUGACUUUUACGGUGUGAGGAUCCACAUACAGUACAUGGGGGCGGGGCAUCCCUUGAAAAGUAUGCUGUGUUUUGAUUUAAUUUUCACUGCAUUCAGUUUCUGUUUUAUGUGUGUUAUGCCCAGUAUACACUGUAUGAUUUUGGGCUUUCCCAGACAAAAAAUGACCAAUGUGUCACUGUGAUUUAUUUGGUCGUGGCUCUUAAACAGUGGUCCUGCUUCGUCUUGCAACCAAUGAUAAUUUUCUGUCAGUGUCAUACAUUUAGGAUGAUCAUCUCACAGUGUGUUUGCUGCUAUGACAUCUACUGACUAGCCAAUAAAAAUGCAACAUUAAAUUGAUCAACACGACACAAAGCGCAAUUUAUCUUGCUCUAUCUGUUUACCACUAGAGGAUGCUGAUGAUGAUAUUUAUUUUUCUAUAUUAACUUUCUAAAGUCAUAGACUACAAUUCAAUAUGUGUCAUCAUCGUACAGUGUAUAUAUCCAAGUUUAUUAGAUCCAUGUCAUACAGUGUGAUUUGUUACGAUCUUAUAAAACUGCUGAAAUCGCACAGACUGUAAAAGGCAUUAGUUGUCUAACUAGUUCUCCUUUGUU
This is a long non-coding RNA of Cyprinus carpio carpio, 1021 nucleotides long. The record is from Ensembl. Lineage: Eukaryota; Metazoa; Chordata; Actinopteri; Cypriniformes; Cyprinidae.